This 336-nucleotide ribosomal RNA is filed under the name Triticum aestivum (bread wheat). RNAcentral describes it as "partial small subunit ribosomal RNA". Lineage: Eukaryota; Viridiplantae; Streptophyta; Magnoliopsida; Poales; Poaceae. The record is from RNAcentral.
AUGACUCCUUACCAGAUCGCCAUCGCUCGACGGCAAGCCGGAAUGCAUCCAGCCGGCCAGGGAGUUGGUGUCCAGCAGGGCAACGUGGCGGCCCAGAUUGUUCCUGCUGCCAUCCAGCCCCAAGUGCAACACCUCCCGCCGGCGGCCAACAACCUGAUUGCUGAAGCCAUUAGGCCGGUUGCCGCAGCCGGAGCCACCACUGGAGCACAAGGCCUCGCCAUUCUUUUUAAUUUUUACAUGAGGACAUGUGAAGGAAUCACACCUGUAUAUAUGGCCAAAGGGGGCCAAAGAAGAUUACAGAUUUACAGAGGCAUGGCAAGCCGUGUGGUAAGGUAG